AGGGAACUGAGGGGAGACUCACCCGCGGCGUGGUUGGAACGCGGGAGGGAUGAGCCGAGGGGUCUGUCUGGGGGCUGGAGGGCCGUGGACUGAGCCUGGGAGAGACAGUGGCCCUCUUCACCGCGAGGCACCGUGGGACCCAACGGGGGAGUUGACUCUCGGGGAGGAGGCUGAGCUGCAGGCAGCAGAGACCGGCUCCAUCCCUGGUCACGCGCGGAGGCUGUCCCUCGAUCCCAUGGUCAGGACUGUCCCUUUUCUUCCCACUGUGCCAACAGCCCUUCAAAAAUAUGAGUCCUCACUUAUCCUCUGCUUUCCCUCCAAAACUGAUGAAGAGAAGAUGGUUCAAGGAAAACCUGCAGGUGGGCUUGGACCACUGCAGCCGAGAGGUGGGUGUGUCUGCAGGGACGGGCCCAGAGCCGGGGAAGCCGGGGUGUCCGGCUCAGUGGAGGUGUCCAUGGAGUGGAGGAGGCUCCUGGGUCAUUGUAGAUGCCCCUGCCCCCAGGGGGGACACAGCACCCAAUGCUGUCCUGUCACACAUGGACUCUGAGGGCCCCCUAAGGAGGCACAUGCGGAACAGGACACAACAGAAACCAGGCUCUCCCUCGCAGGCAAGUCCCUUCCCCUCUGCAAGCCUCAGUUUCCUCAUAAGCGGAAUCAGGAUGUCACAGAUAGCCUGGAAGCAUCAGCUCAGAGCCUCAGAACCAUGGCCUGGCCCAGAAGGAGCCCAGCAACAGGUAAAAGUACCAACAAUGGUGAUGAUCCUGAAGACACGUUGCCACUAUCAGCUGGGAGGAUUGUGGUUAUUUAAAUUUUCUUGUUUACCUAUACUUAAAACCCCACAAAGACCCCUCUGCUCUUAGCAUUAAGACUAAGACUCUUAAACUGGCCCAUACGACCCAUGAUUGUCUGACCUCUGCUCCUUACACCUUGGAUUAGGCAUUUUAACAGUUUACUGUGAUGAAAUACCUGAGGCUGAGUCACUUUAGAGAGAUAAGAGGGUUUUGGGGGCUCACAAUUCAGGGGGCUCCAGAGCACAGCACUGACAGCUUGGCUCUGCUGGAGACAUCAUGGUGGGUAGCAUCAAAAUGACAGAAAAACAUGCGAGAGGGAGAAAUUACGUCACCAGAGAGGAAGCCAGAGAAACUGGGGAGUGGCCGGGCAACUUCCUGUUAUGGUUUAGAUAUGAUGUGACCUCCAGAAGCCACGCGUGAGACAAUGAGAGGAAGUUCACAGGUGAAAUGACCGGCUUAUGAGAGCUCUGACCUGAUGGGUGGAUGAACCCAUUGAUGUGGAUUAACUGGGUGCUCUACAGACAGGAACAGCAUUCAAGGAAAUGGAGUCUGCUGAAGAGACUCUGGUGAAGGCUGAGAAGGGGCAGUGUGUGAGUGCCAGCCGAGGGACUUGGGCUGCAGCUCUUCCUCGGGAGGAUUGCGAGCAGAGAAAGAUGUCAUGAACUGAGCAGAUUUCCCGCCCCAUAUCCUGCCACCAUGAGGUUCUGCCUUAUCUCAAGUUAAGAGCCAUGGAGUCAGCUAUCCAUGGACUACACCUCUGAAACUCCAAGACAAAAUAAACUCUUCCUCCUGUUGUUCUUGUCGGGUCUUUUGGUUACAGCAACGUGAAGCUGACUAAAAUACAGAUACUCUGCCAAGUACUUGACAUAUUGAUUCAUUUAAAACUCUGCAAGGUGGAGAAACUAUUUGCGCACCACAUAUCUGAUAAAGGAUCUCUGUUAUGUAGAGAACACUUAAGUUCAAUGACAAGACGUGCCUAAUCUGGAUAUCUAAUAGAAAUGCACUCCUACAACAUGUGGCCUUCUGAGUCCUGCUUCUGUUUCACUGAGCACAAUGUGCUCAAGGUCAUCCGCACUGCAGCCUGUAUUAGUGCUCCAUUCUUUUUAUGCCCGAAUAAUAUUCUAUUGGAUGGAUAUAUCACAUAGAAAUAGGCAGUAAGUUAGCAGUAGCCAGGGGGUUGGGGAGGAGUGAUCAACAGUGACUACCUCUUGGUUAUGGAGUUAGGAUUAGGUAAUGAAGAGGUUCUGCAGAUGGAUGGUGCUGGCGGUCGCACAAUAGUGUGAAUGUUCUCAAUGAAAUGGACUGUAUGCUCAAAGAUGGCUCAGAUGGUAGAGUGUAUGUCCUUUGUAUUUCCCCACAAUAAACACGUCUAAAUGGUUAGAAAAUUGAUAAACCAAAUGAAAAAUUGGGCAAAAUUUUGAAUGGAAAGUUUACCAAAGAGCAUACUGUACUUGGUGAAUGACCACGUACAGUAUGUCCAACAUCACUAGUCAUCACAGAAAUGCAAAUCAAAGCCAGAAGAGACAGGGAUACACCCCCCAUUAGAAUGCCUAAAAUUGAAAACACUGGCCCUAACAAAUG
Long non-coding RNA from Marmota monax (woodchuck), 2372 nucleotides. RefSeq lists it as uncharacterized. The transcript is spliced from 3 exons. NCBI's taxonomy places the organism in Eukaryota, Metazoa, Chordata, Mammalia, Rodentia, Sciuridae. The record is from RefSeq and is a predicted model, not a curated record.